Molecule: ribosomal RNA, 330 nt
Filed under: uncultured prokaryote
Description: partial 16S ribosomal RNA
Source: RNAcentral
CCCUACGGGGAAGGGGGCCUGCAGAGCACCAUGGAAAAGAUCAAAGCCGGGCUCUGAGCCUGUGAGUGUGCUCCGUUGAAGCAGGGAACAUCACGUUUCAGAACCCGUAAUCUCCCGUGGUGAUUUCCACUAGGUGACUGUUUUCAAAGCGCAAGAUCCGUACAAAUCGGGUGGGGCCCGAGUUAUACACCCAUUCUUCAAUGAGGACAUAGACGACCGCGCCAAAGGGGAUGCGUGUUUGAAUGGAGCUGUCCCAGUCCCCGUAGGGAGCACCGUAGACGCGUUCCAAACGUUUCUCUUCCCAGGCGUCUCUGAAAUUGGCGGGAGGGC